UGCAGUUAAAGGUGUUCAGCUUAUGGCUUUUCUUCUGAGCAGUACGUGCUUCUAUGCCCUUUUCAAAUAAAAUUGAUUCUGGAAUUGUUAUGUCAAAACAUAAUUGCAAGCACAGAUUAAAGUAUAUGGAUCAGUUUUGUUUUAUAAUUAUGUUCUUUGAUGUUUGCUUCUGUUUACUUUUUUUAUUAAUGAUUUCCUAUAGCAUCAUAAACAUGUAUCAUUGUUUAUCAUGACCCGAUUCCCAUAAUCAGUGGAAGCUUCCAAUCAUGAUCUAGUAUUCAUGUUUAAAACACGAUAGCAUAGACGUGUAAAUCGGGACAUAGACCAACUGACACAGGAACAUAUUGAUUUGACAAAGAACAAGAAAGAAAGGGGAUCCAAGAAAAUAAUGAUUAAUUUUUAAAUAUUUGAGCUUCGAUUAAUAUUACGAUUAAUAAGUCCUCUAUUUAUAGAGCAACCAAUCUACAAUUUAAAAAGUUUUAAAAGCUAUAACUUUAUCAAAAUAUUUAAUUUAAUUUAAUAUAAUCUAAAUAGUAAUAGUAUCCGUUGAACUUUUAUUAUAAAUUUCUAUCUAUCAUCUAUGCGAUCUCUAUCUCCAUCACCAACACUAUCAUGCAGGAUUGAGGUUGCACGAGCUCGACUUCUUCUUGAACCACCUCAUUUUAAAAGUUUUAGUUGCUACAUAGGAAAAUUUAUAAAUAUCAAAUCUACAACCAAGCCCCUCAUGAACCAACCUGAUCCGUGACACGCACGCUUUGGUAAGUCUGACACAACUAAGAUUGUAGCCAGAUAGGUUUAAGACGGUAAGUUUAGAAUUCUUGCAUUGCAUAUCUGACAUGAUCUUGUCCUACCAAUUGCACCAGUGAGUCAACUUGUACUAAAUUUCUAUGUUAAUCGAGUCCUGACUGACCAAACUAGAUGGAAGACAUACAUAUUUGUGGAGACUCAUUCAUUUUACAUGUUCAAUUUUUUUCCUGAGAACAGGCAUGUUUCUGUUUAGCGUCAAUCUAAUGUCUCAAACAACUGAGGCGUGCCCUGAAAUUUGCUAUGACGUCCUAUCCAUGAGAUGCAAUGGUACGACAGUACGUCCACCUCAGUGCAACUGUUGCCUGGUUCAAGAGGGAUGCACCCUUCACCUUGCCAAUGGAGAAUCAAUUUUUUGUUAACGUAUAAAUGAAAGUUUUCGGGCUCGCUUACGGAAAAAAGAAAGUGCCUUUUGUGUAGUAUACAAAGAAAUGGGUUGACGUUGUGUUGACGGAGUUUGUCUAAAGAAUAAAAGUCCAUGUAAAAUUGUCUUUUUCUGAUCUUUUGUAGCUAAAAGGUCUUUGUACUAUAUGUAUCCGCAUAAAUUUG
This 1353-nucleotide long non-coding RNA is filed under the name Olea europaea subsp. europaea. Lineage: Eukaryota; Viridiplantae; Streptophyta; Magnoliopsida; Lamiales; Oleaceae. The record is from RNAcentral.